UACGAAGGGGGCAAGCGUUGUUCGGAGUUACUGGGCGUAAAGGGCGCGUAGGCGGAUCUGCAAGUCAGAGGCGAAAGCCCUGGGCUCAACCCGGGAAUUGCCUUUGAGACUGUUGGUCUUGAGCAUGGGAGAGGGUGGCGGAAUACCCAGUGUAGAGGUGAAAUUCGUAGAUAUUGGGUAGAACACCGGUGGCGAAGGCGGCCACCUGGCCCAUAACUGACGCUGAGGCGCGAAAGCGUGGGGAGCAAACAGG
Molecule: ribosomal RNA, 253 nt
Filed under: uncultured bacterium
Lineage: Bacteria
Description: partial 16S ribosomal RNA
Rfam family: Bacterial small subunit ribosomal RNA
Source: RNAcentral